Molecule: unclassified non-coding RNA, 458 nt
Filed under: Hevea brasiliensis (rubber tree)
Lineage: Eukaryota; Viridiplantae; Streptophyta; Magnoliopsida; Malpighiales; Euphorbiaceae
Source: RNAcentral
CAUUUACCUAGGACCUCACGGGGCUCCACCUUCGCAAUCAAAGCAGCAAGAGCUGAACCAUUCUGGUCGUAAACAGCGGUUCAAGCAGAAACUGAAGGAAGCGGAUAGGAGAAUUACUGGAACAGGGAGGGAAAAUAAGUUAGAGAAUCUGCGAGAGCUAGUAGGUGGAGGGAGGGGAAGUCCCAAUAUGGCAAAGGGUUCUCCCAGGGACUGGUUAGACCCACAUUGCCAUGAAUCACAGUUUGAGAAGUGGUCCUCUCAGUGAGUGGAUUAUUUGGUACCUAAUAUUAUCUCUCUAGUUUAACAUUGGCACAAACUAUUUCAAGCUUCAAUAUCUUUAGAGAUGCAUAUUUUAUUGAAAUCCAUGUAUUAUGACAAUAAUCCUUCAUCAAUUGGACUAUUUGGUGAUGCUGCAAAAACAGAAUAUAUUAGGUUUAAAGGGCUAACGUCCAUUAUCA